AAUCUUUCAUGGCAUACCUGAUAAUCUCUCAUGCAUCGGUGGUUAGGCAUCACAGGUUUAGGACUGUUCUACAAUUGAUUUUUGAGGUAGUUUUUGUGUAAGGUUAAACAGAUGCUCCACAAUUUGAUGGGAGCAGCAGCCAAGUCCACUGCAGGAUACAACACAUGCAUAACGCAGUUUAUAGCCUCAGCUGGAGAGGAUAUUUCCUGAGAGCUUCCUGCUGAAUCAUUGAGAAGGAAUCAUCAAGUGACAGGAAAUAACAGGAUGUGGCAACACCGCCCACAGUUGCCGUCUUUGAAUCAGUAUGGAAAGGGUUGUCCAAUCCUCACCACAAGGGGGAAGAUUCAGGUCAUAAGACGAUCACAUUAGAUUUUUAAAACAGACCGAAGGUCCACCGUGGGUCAAUUCCCAUGGGUCAAUUGGCACGUGUUGCAAGAAGAAGGUAGGUUCUUCUGAUGCUCCAGCCAGGGGGGAAGUCGUGCACCGGGUGGCUCUUGACGUGACUCUGCAUGGCCACCAGACUGCUGCAGAACUCCAAGCAUAGGGUGCACCGGUAAGGAGACGCCCCGCCGUGAG
Molecule: long non-coding RNA, 576 nt
Organism: Phyllopteryx taeniolatus (common seadragon)
Lineage: Eukaryota; Metazoa; Chordata; Actinopteri; Syngnathiformes; Syngnathidae
Exons: 4
Source: RefSeq, a predicted model, not a curated record